RNAcentral lists this ribosomal RNA (689 nucleotides) under uncultured bacterium. Its description in RNAcentral is "bacterial SSU rRNA". It matches the Rfam family "Bacterial small subunit ribosomal RNA", at positions 32 to 715 of the family's 1533-position model. The record is from RNAcentral.
AACGCUAGCUACAGGCUUAACACAUGCAAGUCGAGGGGCAGCAUGACCUAGCAAUAGGUUGAUGGCGACCGGCGCACGGGUGAGUAACACGUAUCCAACCUACCGGUUAUUCCGGGAUAGCCUUUCGAAAGAAAGAUUAAUACCGGAUAGCAUAACGAGAAGGCAUCUUCUUGUUAUUAAAGAAUUUCGAUAACCGAUGGGGAUGCGUUCCAUUAGUUUGUUGGCGGGGUAACGGCCCACCAAGGCUACGAUCAGUAGGGGUUCUGAGAGGAAGGUCCCCCACAUUGGAACUGAGACACGGUCCAAACUCCUACGGGAGGCAGCAGUGAGGAAUAUUGGUCAAUGGACGAGAGUCUGAACCAGCCAAGUAGCGUGCAGGAUGACGGCCCUAUGGGUUGUAAACUGCUUUUAUAAGGGAAUAAAGUGAGUCUCGUGAGACUUUUUGCAUGUACCUUAUGAAUAAGGACCGGCUAAUUCCGUGCCAGCAGCCGCGGUAAUACGGAAGGUCCGGGCGUUAUCCGGAUUUAUUGGGUUUAAAGGGAGCGUAGGCCGGAGAUUAAGCGUGUUGUGAAAUGUAGAUGCUCAACAUCUGCACUGCAGCGCGAACUGGUUUCCUUGAGUACGCACAAAGUGGGCGGAAUUCGUGGUGUAGCGGUGAAAUGCUUAGAUAUCACGAAGAACUCCGAUUG